RNAcentral lists this ribosomal RNA (592 nucleotides) under uncultured archaeon. RNAcentral's name for it is "bacterial SSU rRNA". It matches the Rfam family "Archaeal small subunit ribosomal RNA", at positions 1 to 600 of the family's 1478-position model. The record is from RNAcentral.
UUCCGGUUGAUCCUGCCGGACCUGACUGCUAUCGGAUUGAUACUAAGCCAUGCGAGUCAUUGUAGCAAUACAAGGCAUACGGCUCAGUAACGCGUAGUCAACCUAACCUAUGGACGGGAAUAACCUCGGGAAACUGAGAAUAAUGCCCGAUAGAACAUUAUGCCUGGAAUGGUUUAUGUUCCAAAUGAUUUAUCGCCGUAGGAUGGGACUGCGGCCUAUCAGUUUGUUGGUGAGGUAAUGGCCCACCAAGACUAUUACAGGUACGGGCUCUGAGAGGAGUAGCCCGGAGAUGGGUACUGAGACACGGACCCAGGCCCUAUGGGGCGCAGCAGGCGAGAAAACUUUGCAAUGUGCGAAAGCACGACAAGGUUAAUCCGAGUGGUUUCUGCUAAAGGAACCUUUUGUCAGUCCUAGAAACACUGAUGAAUAAGGGGUGGGCAAGUUCUGGUGUCAGCCGCCGCGGUAAAACCAGCACCUCAAGUGGUCAGGAUGAUUAUUGGGCCUAAAGCAUCCGUAGCCGGCUCUGUAAGUUUUCGGUUAAAUCUGUACGCUCAACGUACAGGCUGCCGGAAAUACUGCAAAGCUAGGGAGU